This 484-nucleotide ribosomal RNA is filed under the name uncultured bacterium. RNAcentral describes it as "partial 16S ribosomal RNA". It matches the Rfam family "Bacterial small subunit ribosomal RNA", at positions 29 to 507 of the family's 1533-position model. The record is from RNAcentral.
AGUGAACGCUGGCGGCAGGCCUAACACAUGCAAGUCGAGCGGCAGCGCGGGGGCAACCCUGGCGGCGAGCGGCGGACGGGUGAGGAAUUCGUCGGAAUCUGCCUUUUUGUGGGGGAUAACGUAGGGAAACUUACGCUAAUACCGCAUACGUCCUACGGGAGAAAGUGGGGGACCGCAAGGCCUCACGCAGAAAGAUGAGCCGACGACCGAUUAGCUAGUUGGUGGGGUAAAGGCCCACCAAGGCGACGAUCGGUAGCUGGUCUGAGAGGAUGAUCAGCCACACUGGAACUGAGACACGGCCCAGACUCCUACGGGAGGCAGCAGUGGGGAAUAUUGGACAAUGGGCGCAAGCCUGAUCCAGCCAUGCCGCGUGUGUGAAGAAGGCCUUCGGGUUGUAAAGCACUUUUGUCCGGAAAGAAAACCCUGGAGCUAAUACCUUCGGGGGAUGACGGUACCGGAAGAAUAAGCACCGGCUAACUUCGUG